Heterocephalus glaber (naked mole-rat) is the source of this 3134-nucleotide non-coding RNA. Lineage: Eukaryota; Metazoa; Chordata; Mammalia; Rodentia; Bathyergidae. The record is from RefSeq and is a predicted model, not a curated record.
GUCCAGCCCGUCGGGCUCCCGGGGUCGGAGGCGGGCUCAGGGCGUCGGCCAGGCCCGGGGCUGCUCAGGGUUAGGGUCCCCCCUCAGCCCACGCCUGGCGGGGUCCAGCUCGGUGCCUGUUAGGGGGCCGCUGGAUAAGAAAACAUUUCUCUUCUGGACACCCUUGGUGAACCUCAACCUGCUUGCUUUUCCUCAGCAGUUGCGGAGACCCGCGGUGAUUAGUUAACUGAUUGGACAGAAAUUGCAAGGAGCGGCUAGUCCAGUGGGCAAGCGACCGGAAGACCGGGAAAGUCCAGGCCCAGAGCAGUGUGGAGUUCCUUUGGCUGGUGCUUAAGCUGCCCAUGAAGUGUCCAGAGUGCAGCCUCUCACUGUGGUGCUGUGCCGCAGGAUCCAGGCUCUCUGCUUCUCCUCACUCAUGGGAUGUUGGUCUAUGAAUUCUCCCAGAGGCCUCUUUUCACAUGACCAAAUGCUGCCCUCUCUGACCAUGAAGUUCCAGGUGUCUGCGUUGCUGAUGGCCUGGUUUGGUGUCCUGAGCUCCGUGCAGGCUGAAUUCUUCACUUCUGUUGGGCACAUGACUGACCUCAUUUAUGCAGAGAAAGACCUGGUGCAGUCUCUGAAGGAGUACAUCCUUGUGGAAGAAGCCAAGCUCGCCAAGAUUAAGAGUUGGGCCAGCAAAAUGGAAGCCCUGACCAGCAAGUCAGCUGCGGACCCUGAGGGCUACGUGGCCCACCCUGUGAACGCCUACAAGCUGGUGAAGCGGCUGAACACAGACUGGGCUGCCCUGGAGGACCUUGUUCUGCAGGACUCCGCUGCAGGUUUUAUUGCCAACCUCUCCGUGCAGCGGCAGUUCUUUCCCACUGAUGAGGAUGAGUCGGGAGCUGCCAAAGCCCUGCUGAGACUUCAGGACACAUAUAAACUAGAUCCAGGCAUGAUUUCCAGAGGGGAACUUCCAGGAACCAAGUACCAGGCAAUGCUGAGUGUAGACGACUGCUUUGGGAUGGGCCGCUCAGCCUACAACGAAGGGGACUAUUACCAUACGGUGCUGUGGAUGGAACAGGUGCUAAAGCAGCUUGAUGCUGGGGAAGAGGCCACUGUCGCCAAGUCUGAGGUGCUGGACUACCUUAGUUAUGCUGUCUUCCAGUUGGGUGACCUGGACCGUGCCCUGGAACUUACCCGGCGCCUGGUCUCCCUGGACCCGAGCCAUGAGCGAGCUGGAGGGAAUCUGCGGUACUUUGAGCGGUUGUUGGAGGAAGAAAGAAGAAAACCGUUGUCCAAUCAGACAGAAGCUACGCUUGCAGCCCAGGAAGGCGUGUAUGACAGGCCGAUGGAUUACCUGCCCGAGCGGGAGGUGUACGAGAGCCUCUGCCGCGGAGAGGGUGUCAAACUGACACCCCAGAGGCAGAAAAGGCUCUUCUGUAGGUACCACCAUGGCAACAGGGCGCCAGAGCUGCUGAUUGCCCCCUUCAAAGAAGAGGACGAGUGGGACAGCCCGCACAUCGUCAGGUACUACAACGUCAUGUCCGACGAGGAGAUCGACAGGAUCAAGGAGCUCGCCAAGCCCAAGCUUGCACGAGCCACCGUACGUGAUCCCAAGACAGGGGUCCUCACUGUCGCCAGCUACAGGGUUUCCAAAAGCUCCUGGCUGGAGGAAGACGAUGACCCUGUUGUGGCCCGAGUCAAUCGCCGGAUGCAGUAUAUCACAGGGCUAACAGUACAGACUGCAGAACUAUUACAGGAGCUGCCUUGGCAUUUCCUCUGCCAGCCAAUAGUAUUAUGAAAGCUUUGAUCUGGGCUUAGCACCUGUCCCUGAAUGCUCGCUCAACAGGGACUGCUUGCAGUGUGGCAAGCGGUGAGGCACCAGCACCAGCCCGCCUCAGGGUCCCUUUGGGAAUGCUGCAGGCUUCUGCGAAGGAGCUGCAGCUCUCCUGCUGUCAGCGCUGUUUCCGCUCUAAUUGAUGUCAGCUGUGCACCUCUGGGAAGAUGGGCAGUUGAGGCUUUCUUGGGAGUUGGCUGAGGGCCUGUCUCAUAGAGGAGAUGCUGCGCCUCCAUAAUUCUCUAAGACUCAAGACUUCUGGCUCAAAGAUGUCUCAGCCUCAUAAGGAAAGUGAUUUCUAAUCCUUUUAUUUUUCUGCCUUCACUUGACCUCCGCAUCAUGAAUGCCCAUGUCUUUCACAUGACCGACUCUAUCCUGUAACAACAAAAGCAUAAAGAUUGACAUGAAUACCACCUCAUGGGAAUCAGUUUUGACAUACAGUUGCUUGUUACUAAAGCCUUAUGUCCACCUGCUGCUCCACCUGCCUGUCCUGUGCACAGGAACUCGAAGGCUGAUGCACCAGAGAUGACAGCAUAUUUUCAUCCACUGAUUCUUCAUAUCAAAAUUGUGAUUUUUAUAGGUGCUGAAGAUAAUAAUGUCCAACUUUGCAUUUCCUCAUAUUUCGCAAAUAGUGUUUGUACUGCAACAAAAAGAUUUCCUUUCUUAAAGAUUCAUCAUCCCGUUUUUCCCCCACAACUAAAGGUGUCCAUUAGUGCCAGUUUAGUAUCUCUUUUUUUUUUUUUUCUUUUGGUGCCGGCGAUCGAACUCUGGUCCUUGUGCUUGUGCAGCAGGCGGCCAAACCAUUGAGCUAAAUCCCCAGUUUUAGUAUGUCUUACUUGACUAUUGGAAUCGCCAAAAAGGACAUACAGAAAGAUACCAACUUUCUGAGAACUAAUAGCAGAGCCCCAAAGGUUUUUAGGGUUCUGGCGAGACACAGUAGCUCUUCCUGGUAGACAUUGGUGGUCCCAAGUUGAUCCAUGAGUCUCUAACCUCAUCUCUCAUUGUAUCUGCUGUAGAAAGUAACCAUUGUGAUUUAGAAUGUGCAUUGUGCUGUAAGCGUUUCAAAGGCAUUUACAAUUUCCAGCCCUAUUAAUGACUCCGGGUGGUUGCCAAGGCUGCCGUGGCUCAGGUCUCCCUGCAGGUCCGGGCUCACUCUGGGGUGGUGAGAUGGUGUAGCAGUUCUUGGCCACCCUUGUCCUGCUGUUUUGCUUGGAUGCAGAAGUACUACAUGUGGUGGACCCUGCAGGAGGGGAGGGUGAGAUAUGCUUGCCCCUUUAGGCUGAUUAUAAAGAGACGCUGGGAGACAGUGGCAGGGGCAGUA